Non-coding RNA from Kwoniella botswanensis, 95 nucleotides. The record is from the annotation of a RefSeq genome assembly. Lineage: Eukaryota; Fungi; Basidiomycota; Tremellomycetes; Tremellales; Cryptococcaceae.
GGUCACGUGAUGGAGUUGGUCACCAUACCUGUCUAACACUUCUGCUCGCAGAUUUGGUUCACAGGAGGUCGGCAGUUCGAUCCUGCCCGGGAUCA